CCAAUAUUGGUACCAGAUAGUACCCAGUAGUUAAACCCAGCAUGUCAACACCUAGGUACUUAACUGGGGGAAACUGACAAUUAAACAUUCCUUUUCUGUUGUGCUAUACCGACGCUCGUUUUUGGUAAGAGACCUACUUAGGAAACAAAUAGCCUGCUCUUCGUCACCUUGAACCUGAUAAAGGACAGCUCCAAGUCCAAAAUCGGAAGCGUAACAUUGGAUAAUAAAAGGAAGAUCAAAAUCUGGACAUGAUAAAACAGGUGCUCUGACCAGUUUCUCUUUAAUAGUAUUAAAAGCAUUUUCACAUUCAGGACUGCAUACAAACUUUACGGUCAAUGAGGUCAAGGGAGCUACUAUCGUGGAAAAGUUAGGAACAAACCUCCGAUACCAAGAUGCGAGUCCAACAAUUCUUCUAAUAUCAGUAACAGUCUUGGGGGUUGGUAUACGCAGAAUAGCCUCAAUCUUCUCGGGAGUAGACCGGAAGAAUUAACAAUGUAUCCCAAAUAUUUUAACUCGGGUUUACAAAAGGACCUCACGUAAAACACGAAUAUGUUCCUCGAACGACGGGGUGGAAAUGAUUACGUCGUCAAGAUAGACGAAGACCUAUGGCACCAAGUCAACACCAAUAACAGAAUCGAUCAGUCUUUGCCAUACUGCAGGGGCAUUAGUCAACCCAAAAGGCAUACGGGUAAAUUGGAAAAGUCCUCUAGUGAGGACUGUAAAUGCAGUAAGCGGGCGAGAUUCUGGUGCAAUAGGUAUUUGCCAAUACGCAGACUUAAUAUCCAACGUACUAAGGAACUUCGCAUCUCUUAAUUUAUCUAAAGUGGCAGAAACAAAAGGAAUUUAUGUCUCUAACUGGAAGACAAGAAAUGUGUUCUGAACUGCCUGGAAGAAAUUAAAAAUUACUUCAACUAUCAGUGAGUCGGUGUGACUAAUUUUUUAUCGAGUCCAGGCAGUUGAAAAGGGCAAACCAACAAGAAAAUGCUGAUUU
Anthonomus grandis grandis is the source of this 991-nucleotide long non-coding RNA. RefSeq lists it as uncharacterized. The transcript has 3 exons. NCBI's taxonomy places the organism in Eukaryota, Metazoa, Arthropoda, Insecta, Coleoptera, Curculionidae. The record is from RefSeq and is a predicted model, not a curated record.